Molecule: non-coding RNA, 45 nt
Filed under: Schistosoma curassoni
Lineage: Eukaryota; Metazoa; Platyhelminthes; Trematoda; Strigeidida; Schistosomatidae
Source: RNAcentral
AUCCAACUGACGAGUCCUAAAUAGGACGAAAUGCGCGUCCUGGAA